Molecule: long non-coding RNA, 538 nt
Organism: Homo sapiens (human)
Lineage: Eukaryota; Metazoa; Chordata; Mammalia; Primates; Hominidae
Source: Ensembl
AGAGCCUCUCUUAACACUGUCCUGUAGCUCAGCAACUCCAAAUUAGCACAGCUCCACACAUCCAAAGCCUGGAAAGGGUGGAAGAUGAAUAUGAACGGACAGAUCCCUCAUGCUCACCCUUGGUGGUGAAUUGAGUCAUCAGCUGAGUAUGGAAAGGAGUGGGGAACAAGCUCACAGGCUCUUUGUCUCCUUCGACUUUUGUUUCACAUUUGCCAGGAGGAUUAGCUUUCCUUGUUGCCUGUGCUCAGCACAGCAUGAAGAGAGGAAGCAUGGUCUAGCUGGGUACCAAGGAUGUUGCAAGAGAUCCGGGGCCACAGAGUAGGAGCCGGAGAAAACCCAGAGAAGCUGCUGACAACCAUGCCAGUCCCCUGCCCACUCUGCCUCUUGCCUAGGUCUGACAAAACUGGAGAAAUUAAAUUCUUUUUCAGCUUUCAUUUUCUUCAUCCCCACAACAGACACCAGUGUGGUAAGCACAAAGUCAGCAGGUCUGACUUACAAGAGGCUGAACACCCUGUUUUACAAAUGUUUGUGAAACCAA